UCCCUGUUGGCGGAAAUGAUAAAGCGUCUGCCUGCAAUGCAGGAGACCCAGGUUUGAUCUCUGGGUUGGGAA
RNAcentral lists this transfer RNA (72 nucleotides) under Ovis aries (sheep). It matches the Rfam family "tRNA". From Rfam's summary of the family: Transfer RNA (tRNA) molecules are approximately 80 nucleotides in length. Their secondary structure includes four short double-helical elements and three loops (D, anti-codon, and T loops). Lineage: Eukaryota; Metazoa; Chordata; Mammalia; Artiodactyla; Bovidae. The record is from Rfam by way of RNAcentral.